RNAcentral lists this ribosomal RNA (465 nucleotides) under Vreelandella stevensii. RNAcentral describes it as "partial 16S ribosomal RNA". It matches the Rfam family "Bacterial small subunit ribosomal RNA", at positions 338 to 795 of the family's 1533-position model. The record is from RNAcentral. Lineage: Bacteria; Pseudomonadati; Pseudomonadota; Gammaproteobacteria; Oceanospirillales; Halomonadaceae.
CCUACGGGAGGCUGCAGUGGGGAAUAUUGGACAAUGGGGGCAACCCUGAUCCAGCCAUGCCGCGUGUGUGAAGAAGGCCCUCGGGUUGUAAAGCACUUUCAGUGAGGAAGAACGCCUGGUGGUUAAUACCCAUCAGGAAAGACAUCACUCACAGAAGAAGCACCGGCUAACUCCGUGCCAGCAGCCGCGGUAAUACGGAGGGUGCGAGCGUUAAUCGGAAUUACUGGGCGUAAAGCGCGCGUAGGUGGCUUGAUAAGCCGGUUGUGAAAGCCCCGGGCUCAACCUGGGAACGGCAUCCGGAACUGUCAAGCUUGGGGGCAGGAGAGGAAGGUAGAAUUCCCGGUGGAGCGGUGAAAUGCGUAGAGAUCGGGAGGAAUACCAGUGGCGAAGGCGGCCUUCUGGACUGACCCUGACAAUGAGGUGCGAAAGCGUGGGUAGCAAACAGGAUUAGAUACCCUAGUAGUC